GCGAAAACUUUACAAUGCUGGCAACAGCGAUAAGGGAACCUCGAGUGCCAGGUUACAAAUCUGGCUGUCGAGAUGCCUAAAAAGCAUUUCAUAGCAAGGGCCGGGCAAGACCGGUGCCAGCCGCCGCGGUAACACCGGCGGCUCGAGUGGUAACCGUUAUUAUUGGGUCUAAAGGGUCUGUAGCCGGUCGGAUAAGUCUCUUGAGAAAUCUGGCAGCUUAACUGUCAGGCUUUCAGGAGAUACUGUCUGUCUCGAGGCCGGGAGAGGUGAGAGGUACUUCAGGGGUAGGGGUGAAAUCUUGUAAUCCUUGAAGGACCACCAGUGGCGAAGGCGUCUCACCAGAACGGACCUGACGGCAAGGGACGAAAGCUAGGGGCACGAACC
RNAcentral lists this ribosomal RNA (384 nucleotides) under uncultured prokaryote. RNAcentral's name for it is "bacterial SSU rRNA". It matches the Rfam family "Archaeal small subunit ribosomal RNA", at positions 341 to 725 of the family's 1478-position model. The record is from RNAcentral.